RNAcentral lists this ribosomal RNA (792 nucleotides) under methanogenic prokaryote enrichment culture J0704724_A19-36_M13F-47. RNAcentral describes it as "bacterial SSU rRNA". It matches the Rfam family "Archaeal small subunit ribosomal RNA", at positions 83 to 879 of the family's 1478-position model. The record is from RNAcentral.
UAUGCUCAGUAACACGUGGACAACCUGCCCUAGGACGGGGAUAAACCCGGGAAACUGGGUAUAAUACCCGAUAGGUCUCGAUUGCUGGAAUGCAUCGAGAUUUAAAGCUCCGGCGCCUAAGGAUGGGUCUGCGGCCUAUCAGGUAGUAGUGGGUGUAGCGUACCUACUAGCCUACGACGGGUACGGGUUGUGAGAGCAAGAGCCCGGAGAUGGAUUCUGAGACACGAAUCCAGGCCCUACGGGGUGCAGCAGGCGCGAAAACUUUACAAUGCUGGCAACAGCGAUAAGGGAACCUCGAGUGCCAGGUUACAAAUCUGGCUGUCGAGAUGCCUAAAAAGCAUUUCAUAGCAAGGGCCGGGCAAGACCGGUGCCAGCCGCCGCGGUAACACCGGCGGCUCGAGUGGUAACCGUUAUUAUUGGGUCUAAAGGGUCUGUAGCCGGCCGGAUAAGUCUCUUGAGAAAUCUGGCAGCUUAACUGUCAGGCUUUCAGGAGAUACUGUCUGGCUCGAGGCCGGGAGAGGUGAGAGGUACUUCAGGGGUAGGGGUGAAAUCUUGUAAUCCUUGAAGGACCACCAGUGGCGAAGGCGUCUCACCAGAACGGACCUGACGGCAAGGGACGAAAGCUAGGGGCACGAACCGGAUUAGAUACCCGGGUAGUCCUAGCCGUAAACGAUACUCGCUAGGUGUCGGCCACGGUGCGACCGUUGUCGGUGCCGUAGGGAAGCCGUGAAGCGAGCCACCUGGGAAGUACGGCCGCAAGGCUGAAACUUAAAGGAAUUGGCGGGGGAGCAC